AUUCCGAGAUUGUGUGCUGAGGGUUUUCAACUGCAUCUCUAAAGGGAAGGCCAAAGAAAGAGCAACAGGAAAGGAUGACCUGCCUUGCAAGAAAUGUUAAAAGAAGUGCUUUAGAGAGCAGGGAAAUUCUAUAGGUCAGACACUUGGAUCUACAUAAAAAAAGGAAGAAACCAAAGGAGAAAUAAGUGAAGGCAUGGAAACCUUGUUCCACACAUUGCCUGGUGCCCUGUCCAGCGCUGCAAGGUGCACUGCGUCUCCUCUGCCCAGCAAGCCACAAGCCCCUCCAGGGUGAGAGGAGAGCCUUCCCUUCCCUUGGUCCUCCCUUCGACACAGGGAGCUGGAGCUGGACAGCCCCAUAGGCACUCAGGGCUUGAAGAAGAUAUCUAGAAAUGUCAAAGCAGAAGAGCCUCGGAGAUAAUCUGAACUAUUUCUGAGUUUAUAUAAGGGAAAACUGAGACUGGAGAGAACUAACAUGUCUAAUAUUACAAUGGAAACUUGUAAUAAAACCACAAA
Molecule: long non-coding RNA, 513 nt
Filed under: Homo sapiens (human)
Lineage: Eukaryota; Metazoa; Chordata; Mammalia; Primates; Hominidae
Description: HSALNT0397242
Source: RNAcentral